This 240-nucleotide ribosomal RNA is filed under the name uncultured bacterium. Its description in RNAcentral is "partial 16S ribosomal RNA". It matches the Rfam family "Bacterial small subunit ribosomal RNA", at positions 524 to 763 of the family's 1533-position model. The record is from RNAcentral.
UACGUAGGAUGCGAGCGUUAUCCGGAAUUACUGGGUGUAAAGGGAGCGCAGGCGGGACUGCAAGUUGGAUGUGAAAUGCCGCAGCUUAACUGCGGAGCUGCAUCCAAAACUGUAGUUCUUGAGUGGAGUAGAGGCAAGCGGAAUUCCGAGUGUAGCGGUGAAAUGCGUAGAUAUUCGGAGGAACACCAGUGGCGAAGGCGGCUUGCUGGGCUCUAACUGACGCUGAGGCUCGAAAGUGUG